This 204-nucleotide small nucleolar RNA is filed under the name Archaeoglobus fulgidus. RNAcentral's name for it is "partial u-4 small nucleolar RNA". The record is from RNAcentral. Lineage: Archaea; Methanobacteriati; Methanobacteriota; Archaeoglobi; Archaeoglobales; Archaeoglobaceae.
AUCGGGGAAGAGGCAGAGGUGGCAGUGCCGACGAUGAAGCUUCUCUGCGAGCUCGGGGACACACCAUGUCGAUAGGUCCCCUUAGGAGUGAGGCGAAAGCCUUACGAUGAGUAUGGGGCAACCCGGACAUGGGACAGCCCCCAGAGGUCAGCCACUCUGAGAGGGCAAAGCCUGCGAUGAGGGGUGGUGUUACUCUGGGGGCAG